Molecule: long non-coding RNA, 3697 nt
Organism: Passer domesticus (house sparrow)
Lineage: Eukaryota; Metazoa; Chordata; Aves; Passeriformes; Passeridae
Exons: 3
Source: RefSeq, a predicted model, not a curated record
GACAGCGUGUUCCACAUAGGACAGGUCAGGAAACAUCAACAGAAGAGGCAAAGGAAAGCAUCACUCUUACAGAAGCAAUUGGUAUUCCUCAAACAAAUUCCCGUUUUAAAAUGGGAACAGCAUGUCAGCAGUUGGGGGAGGUGAUCCUGUCCCUCUGCUCAGCCCUGGUGAGGCACAUCUGGAGUGCUGUGUCCAAAUCUGAGCUUCUCAGUGUGGGAGAGACAUGGAGCUCCCUGAGCAGGUCCACUGGAGGGCAACAAAGAUGAUGAGGGGACCGAAGCAUCUCUCUCACCAGGAUGAGCUGAAGGAGGUGGGCCUGGUCAGCCUUGAGGAGAGGCGACUGAGAGGGGAACCUCAGGAAGGUCUAUAAAUAUCUAAUGUGUUGGUACCAAGAUGAUGGACAUAGGCUCUUCUCUGUGAUACCAAGCAAUAAGAUGAGAGCCAGCAAGCAGAAAAGCUGCACCUGAGUAUGAGGAAGAACUACUUUACUGUGUGAGUGAUCACAAACAGGAGCAGUGUGCCCAGACAGAUUGUUGAGUCUCCCUCAGUGAAGGUACUCAAUAACCAUCUGGAUGCAAUCCUGUGCUAUGGGGUCUAGAGCUUGAGCUCAGGGCGCUCCAUGACCUGCUGACAUUCCUUCCAACCUUAGCCAUUUUGUGAUUCUGUGAUCUUGUGACAUAUAGACCUGUGGAACUAUAGGCCAGUCAGUCUCACCUCUGUUCCUGGUGAAAUCCCCAUGGAAACUAUAGUAAGGCAUAUGGAAAAUAAAGAGGUGGUUAGUGACAACCAAUGUGGCUCCAUUAAGGGUAAAUAAUGUCUGCCGAGUGUGGUGGCCUUCUGCAAUGGGGCUAUAGAGGUGAUCACUGAGGGGAGAGCUGACAUCAUCUACAUGGUCUCGUGCAAAGCAUUUGCACCCAAUGGCUUGGGUUGAGACAUUAAAGAUUGACUGUUCCAACCCUCCUGCAGUGGGCAGGGACACCUCUCACUAGACCAAUUGCUCAAAGCCCCAUCCAACCUGGCCUUGAACACCUCAGGAAUGAAGCAUCCACAGCUUCUGGGCAACUUGUUCCAGUGCCUCACCACCUUUAUAGAAAAGAACUUCCUAAUACAUAACCUGAACCUACCCUUCCUUUGGUUUAGAGCCAUUCGCUCUUGACCUGUCACUACAUGGCCUUGCCCAAAGUCUCCAUCUUUCUUGUAGUCUCUCUUCAGGUGCUAGAAUCCCACCUUCUCUUUUCAGGUCAUGGCAAGCUUAUUCACCGCAAUUGUCCUGAUCCAGGUGGAGCACCUUGCACUUGGUAUUGUUAAACCUCACGAGAUUCCCAUGGGCUCACUUCUCCAGCCUGUCCAGGUCCCUCUGGAAGACUUCCUAGUGCGUCAACCACAUCAGUCAGCUGGGAAUGAUCUGCAAAUUUGAUGAAAUACAUGGUGUCUUGGAAUGGGUGAAGAAGGAUGAAGAGCAUCAGCGAUGGGAUACUCUUUUCAGAUGGUUGGAAUUGCAGCAUACCCUACUAAGGAGUAUUUGUUGAAAGACAGUAUGUUGUAAGAUACAACCACAGAAUAGGUAAGGUUGGAAGGAAUCACUGGAAGAUACCUAUUCCAACCUCUCUGCUCCAGCAGGAUCCCCUAGAGUACAUUAUGCAACAUUGUGUCCAUAUGGCUUAUGAAUAACUCCAGAGAAAGAGACUCCCCAACCUGUCUGGACAACCUGUUCCAGUACACAGUUACUUGCAUGGUAGAAAAGCUCUUGCUCACGUUCAAGUGGAACUUCCUGUCCAUCAGUUUCUGCCCAUUGUAUCUUGUCCUAUUGCUCAACACCAAGAAGAGCCUGGAUCUAUCCUCUGACGCUCUCUGUUCAGAUAUUUCUAUGCAACGGUAAGAUCGCAUCUCAGUCUUCACUUCUCCAGGCUAACAGGCUCAACCUUUCCUUUUAAGAGAGAUGCUCCAGUCCUCUCAUCAUCUCUGUCACCCUCCACUCAACCUGCUCCAGGAGCUCCAUGUAUCUCUUCUCCUGAGGAGCCCAGAACUGGACACAGCACUCCAGAUGUGCCUCAUUAAGACUGAGCAAAGCCGACAGUAUCAUGCCAUCAUCAACUUGAUGGCAAUGCUCUUCCUAAUGCACCCCAGGAUCUCAAUGGCAUUCUUGGCGCCCAGGAUACACUGUUGAUUCAUGGACAGCUUGCUGUUCACCGGGAUCCCCCAGGUCCUUCUCCACAGAGCUGCUCUCCAGCAGAUCAGCUGGGGCCUCUGCUGGUGCCUGGUGUUGUUCCUCUGUAGCUGCUGUGCAGUGGCGGCUGGCCUCGAAGAUAAACCCCAGCUAGCUGCGGCCAGCACCGCCAGCAGCACAGGGGCACUCUCCCGAUUCCGGGCUCUGUCAGGAGAGCGCCUAAGGCUUUCGCCUUAUGGGACGAGGAUCCGCGACGAAGAGAAGGGGCUGCUACCCACAGAAGACAGGAGAUGGACUUCGGUGACAGCACAAUAUAGAUCGAGUAAGCUCCAGGGAAACUGUUGUCCGAACACCUCAAACUGAGGUCUUACAUCGGUUUUUAAAGAGGGGUGAACGGCCAAUGGGGAAACAGAGGGGUGUCAGGUGGGGGUGAUUGACAUAAUGGGACAGCUAAUAGGAGAGAGCGUGGGGAGGGGCCUCAGUCCCUGAACCAAUCACCCGAUGCCUUGGGUAGAAGAUUCUAGAUGGGAAGGCUGGGCCACCGAGUGAUGGACAGGGCACCAGGGAGGGGUUUAGGGGAAGACACAUAGGUUGUCAAGGUAACUGGGAGGAAAAAGACUAGAAGGACUGGGCGAUCGAGGAGAGAGAGACUCAGGGCAGAACCACUACAACUAAGAGGGGUACACGGAACAAACCAUAUUACAAUCUGAAAAUAAACGCAAUACUACAGUGCAGGACCCUGCAUCUGCUUUUGUUGAACUUCAGACAGCUCCUCUCUGCUGAUUCCUCCAGCUUGUUGAAGUCCUUCUGAAAGGUUGCACGGCCCACUGGGGUAUUAGCCAUUCCUCUGAAUUUUGUGUCAUCAGUGGACUUGCUGAGGAAGCAUCUUCCCUUUCAUCCAAGUGAACAAGCUAAGAAGCACUGGGCCUAGCAUAGAACCUUGGGGGACACCACCAGUGACAGACUUCCAACCAGACUCUGUGCCACUGAUUAAAAACCCUCUGGGAUCUGCCAUUCAGCCAGAUCUCCAUCCACCAUCCAUUCAUCCAGCUUCCGUUUCCUGAGCUUACUUAUGAGCACAUCAGAGAGAGAGAGUAUUGAAAUCCUUGCUGAAGUCACGGUAGAAAAAAUCUACUGCUCUCAUCCAUCCAGGUAGUUGUCCCAUUGUAGGAGGCAAUCAGGUUGGUCAAGCAUGAUUUUCCUUUAGUGAAUUCAUGCUAAAUACUCCUUAUCAUCUUCUUGUCAUCUACUUGGAUAGAGGUGUCCUUCAGGAUGAGCCAUUCAUUCAUCAUCACCUUUUAACAUGAAACAACAUAAAGCACAAGUAUUUUAGAAUGCAACAUAACAUGAAUUCCUGAUGCAGGAGCCUGAAAUUAUUCAUUCAAAUGUUUUCCUGUACUAACUUGGCCUCACCAUGUGUUUAUUACACAGAAUUGAAAUAUUUCCAGGCACACAAAUCUCUGUAUAGCUUGUAUAAUUUUCUACUGUAUCAUAAUAAAUUCUGAAACUAAAUAAAGGCAAUUAAAUAGA